UUUGGCUUGCGCACGGUGUGCUGCACCCACUGUCCUGCACCCACUGUCUGGCACUCCCUAGUGAGAUGAACCCAGUACCUCAGAUGGAAAUGCAGAAAUCACCCGUCUUCUGCGUCGCUCAUGCUGGGAGCUGUAGACCGGAGCUGUUCCUAUUCGGCCAUCUUGGCACCACCCCCACCUUGGACACCUUUAUGAAAAAUAUUUCAGGGAGAACGCUUUUCAAAGCAUGAACAACAGACAACCUACAUCAGAACCAACUGGAAUGCUUGUUAAACAAAAAAAAGGAAAGCCACAGAUCAACUGAAUCAGCAUCUGUGAGGGGCAGAGCCUGUAUGUCUGCCUCCUAAGUUUGGAUCAUACUACGAUUUGAGAACUGUUGGUGCAGUAUAACUCAUCUGUGUUUUCUGUUCAAUCUCUAGUAGUCACAAUUUCACAAUAAAUUAUUUCCCUACAGUGUUCUAAGUAGUUGCUGUUUUGUUUGUGCAUGGAUUUUUGCCAGAACUCC
This 505-nucleotide long non-coding RNA is filed under the name Homo sapiens (human). RNAcentral's name for it is "HSALNT0059630". The record is from RNAcentral. Lineage: Eukaryota; Metazoa; Chordata; Mammalia; Primates; Hominidae.